AUGUACGACUCAGAGACACAUACUUGGACACCCCUUCCCAGCAUGAAUAGCGCUAGGUACAGAUGCUCUGCCGCGUUCAUGGACGGCAAGUUCUAUGUGAUCGGUGGUCUUAGCAGUAGCCACGAGUUAUUGACAUGCGGUGAGGAGUAUGACUUGAACCAGCGGUCAUGGAGGCUCAUCGACAACAUGUCUCAGGGGCUCAACGAGACAGAUGAGGGAGCCCCUCUGUGCCUUGCAGUUGUCAACAAUGAGAUUUAUGCUGCUGAUUACAGAGAGAAUGAUUUGAAGCAGUAUGAUAAGCUGGACAACAAGUGGAUCACUCUUGGAAAAUUGCCUGUACAGUCUAAGCAAGGGGGCAGGGACAUGGGUUUCCGAGCAUGUGGUGACCGGCUGACUGUUAUUGAGCCUCCAAACAAUUCUAGUGAUGAAAAGGUGGUUGAGCUUCAUUCAUGGACCCCGGAUGGGCAUCUGCCUGUUUGGGAUUUGGUUGCCACACGGCCAUACUUGGGAUGGGUUGCUGAGUCCACGGAAUAA
This 534-nucleotide ribosomal RNA is filed under the name Triticum aestivum (bread wheat). RNAcentral describes it as "partial small subunit ribosomal RNA". The record is from RNAcentral. Lineage: Eukaryota; Viridiplantae; Streptophyta; Magnoliopsida; Poales; Poaceae.